GAGGGUAUAGCUCGGUGGUAGAGCGCGUGCUUAGCAUGCACGAGGUCCUGGGUUCAAUCCCCAGUACCCCCA
This 72-nucleotide transfer RNA is filed under the name Camelus ferus (Wild Bactrian camel). It matches the Rfam family "tRNA". From Rfam's summary of the family: Transfer RNA (tRNA) molecules are approximately 80 nucleotides in length. The record is from Rfam by way of RNAcentral. Lineage: Eukaryota; Metazoa; Chordata; Mammalia; Artiodactyla; Camelidae.